This 497-nucleotide ribosomal RNA is filed under the name uncultured bacterium. RNAcentral describes it as "partial 16S ribosomal RNA". It matches the Rfam family "Bacterial small subunit ribosomal RNA", at positions 28 to 507 of the family's 1533-position model. The record is from RNAcentral.
GAUGAACGCUGGCGGCGUGCCUAAUACAUGCAAGUCGAGCGAGCAGACGAGGAGCUUGCUCCUCUGACGUUAGCGGCGGACGGGUGAGUAACACGUGUAUAACCUACCUAUAAGACUGAGAUAACUUCGGGAAACCGGCGCUAAUACCGGAUAAUCUAUUUAACCGCAUUGUUCAAUAGUGAAAGACGGUUUUGCUGUCACUUAUAGAUUGAUCCGGGCCGCAUUAGCUAGUUGGUAAGGUAACGGCUUACCAAGGCAACGAUGCGUAGCCGAACUGAGAGGGUGAUAGGCCACACUGGAACUGGGACACGGUCCAGACGCCUACGGGAGGCAGCAGUAGGGAAUCUUCCGCAAUGGGCGAAAGCCUGACGGAGCAACGCCGCGUGAGUGAUGAAGGUCUUCGGAUCGUAAAACUCUGUUAUGAGGGAAGAACAAAUGUGUAAGUAACUAUGCACGUCUUGACGGUACCUAAUCAGAAAGCCACGGCUAACUACGUG